GCUGCACAUGUCAGCCAGCAAUGUAGAGUUUAAACUAGCUUCUCUCAGCAAAUCCACUGUGUGUACAUGUGUAUGUUUAUAAAGUACAUCAAGGAUGCCCUUGAAUGAGACUUACCUCUUUUUCACUUUCUAAUUCCAAACUAAAAUGCUGGGCUUUAAAGGCAUUAAAAAAAAAAAGGAAAGAAAUUCCACAACUCUAAAUCUGAACAUUAAUAGUGAGUCUAUUUCGCUAUCUAGGAAAAGGUCCUUAAAAAUUAACAAUUUACUCCAGUAACAACAGAAAGUGGUCCAGGGGCUGAGAUGAAGUCCAGAUGGAAGGGGGGAACUUACCAUUACUUAAUUAAGAUACAGUAAUCAACUAUUUGGAGCUUAUUUGGAUCCUGAUUCAAAUGAACUAUACAAAAAUAUAGCAGGAGACAUUUGGAAAUUUAAAUACUGACCAGAUGCUUGAUGUUAUUUCUGUUUGCUCUUUUUCUUAAUAGGGUUAUUUAAAAUGACAUCUUCCCAUUACUGCAUGCUGUUUCCAAUAAGAACACAAGAAAAGGGAAGGAAAAGAAUGGAAAGACUUGGGCCUUUUACUCCGUUCCUUUUUGCAUCUGCCUGGCUUAAGCUGAAACUCCAGUACUUUGGCCACUUCAUGCGAAGAGUUGACUCAUUGGAAAAGACUCUGAUGCUGGGAGGGAUUGGGGGCAGGAGGAGAAGGGGACGACAGAGGAUGAGAUGGCUAGACGGCAUCACUGACUCGAUGGACGUGAGUCUGAGUGAACUCCAGGAGCUGGUGAUGGACAGGGAGGCCUGGGGUGCUGAGAUUCAUGGGGUCGCAAAGAGUGGGACACGAUUGAACGACUGAACUGAACUGAACUGAGACCAGGCCGUGGUCCCCGAUCCUCCCGGUCUCAGAAUCGGAGCACCGCAAAUCCACGCCGGGAUGCAGCGACCCUAGGUCCACGCGACUCUGAUCGCCUUCUUCCCAGGGUAGAAUCUUUGGGUGGCUCCUGAUGGCCGGCAGAGGGGCCACCCCCUUGCGUGGUUUCAAAGCCCCUCAAAUUCUGACCCCGGUGCUUCCCCUAAUCUCAUUCCCCCCUCUCCUCGCAGGCUCCAAGAGAAUUCCACGGACUCCCUCCCACGGCCUGCCAGGGCUUGUCUGGCUUAUUUACUCAUCCGUGAGUUAAAAAGUCGCCUCUGACAUCACACCCUCCAGGACGGCCAUCCCUGGAGUGGGGUGACCCCCAGGGCCCCUGCGUGCUUCUCUGGGUUGUAGCAAACGUCACUAACUCCAGCUACGCAGUUAAUGGAUUUUCUCCACCUCACUCCCAACAGUUUAUCACCGGGACCUUUGUACCCCGCACAGGGCUAAGCAAGUGUUGUGAAUUACUUAAUACUUAACAACCGCCCUGCGAAGUAGCUUCUGUUAUGGCCAUCUUACACAUGCGGCAUAGACUAAGAGUUUAAGAAACGUGUCUAGUCUGGCAUGGCAAGAAUGCAGGGCACUCAGACAUCCAUACUUUUUGAACUUGCACUCUGGGUGAGUCCCUGUGCAGCUUUGGUUGAGAACCUCUGUUUAACCUGUGAGGUCUCUUAGGACAAGGGGCCACCUGUGCUUCUGGAGCUGACCCAGUAACCGAGACAUAGUGAGUGUUUGUGGAGGUUUUAUUUGAUCCUCUACAUCAGUCUGGAAGGCAGGCCAUUCAGACAUCACAGCUACCUUGUUUUCAGAUGUGCAAAGGGAUCCAGAAAGUUGAGUGACUUUGUGGUUCAGAAAUGGCAGUGCAUGCUGAAAACCAGGAACAGCUGACUCCCCUGGGCUCUUUUCACCAUCGUAGCUUUUUUUCUGGCACAGCCUCCAAAAA
Molecule: long non-coding RNA, 1850 nt
Filed under: Bos indicus x Bos taurus (hybrid cattle)
Lineage: Eukaryota; Metazoa; Chordata; Mammalia; Artiodactyla; Bovidae
Description: lncRNA (ENSBIXG00005014442.1)
Source: RNAcentral